Molecule: long non-coding RNA, 1789 nt
Filed under: Strigops habroptila (Kakapo)
Lineage: Eukaryota; Metazoa; Chordata; Aves; Psittaciformes; Psittacidae
Description: lncRNA (ENSSHBG00005020263.1)
Source: RNAcentral
UGAAUGUGUUCCCUCUUAGUUAUCAGGGACUGAAGUGUGUUUAUUCAUUGAGGUUUUGAUACACAAGUCUAUUCGAUGCAUUUUUUGACUUAACAAGCCUGCAAAAAUAUAACAUUUCUUACUUCAACCAAUGAUGUUACUAUACGGGUUCUAUAUGGGUUUAUUUAACCAGUGUGAUUUUCUCCCUGAAUCUCUAUAGUACUUCAGGUUUUUUCCUGUCUUGGUGAAGGAUAAAGCUGAGUAAAUAUUUAGUAAUAGAUAAUUAAUUCAACCACUUCUUGUCCAUCUCCUCCAAGACACUCAUUCACUGGAUGUUGUUCAAGAUUCAACAAUUCUUUAUCUUUAGUUAGCUACUAAACUAUUUUCUAUAGUUUGACACCUGCAAUGUGAACAGUUUUGAAUGGACAUAAGCCACAUUAUAUUGGCCUGAUGGGGUAGAAAUACUCUUGCUUUCUCUCUUUUUUUGCUUAGAAGAUUCCCAAGAAAACAUUAUAUAAAUAAAGCAUAAACUCAAAGGAAGCACACUGACUCUCCAGUGCAGGACACUCCGGGAAAGCAGUUACCCACCUCUCCUGUAGAUACUGAGGUUUGCAUUAUAUAUUAAGAGGAUAGUGCCUGAGGGUCCCAGCCUGUAAUAUGGCAUUUCACAGCCGUGCUCAGUCCCUGAGGUCACUUCUGUACCCAGCCAGAGCUCAGUGACCGCAGUCAGCUCCCACUGUGUCACUGCCAAUUGCAUGCUUGUAUUCAGGGAAAUGAGAGACAUAAACCACAUUUACUAUACACAUGAAGUAUUUGCUUAACCCAUUCCACAAUGAACUAGCAAACACAGAGAAGUUGCCAUCUGUUUUCUUUUUUUUUUACCAGUUACUACCCAACUCAUGCUAUCAUCUGUAUAUGCCUACAGGCCGAGUCUCUGUUACAUGUGUCAUUCACAGACAACAAAUGUCAACAUCAUAAGCUACACACAAACAGGCAGUUAACCUUAUACUCAAAGCUUAUACACAAGCUCUUAUACCCAACCUUAUACACAAGCUUUUCCAUUCUUCCAUAUGACACUGACAAUAAAAGUGCCUUAAACCUCCUUCUGAUAAAGUGCUUUCUGUGCAGUAAGCGAAACAGAAACAACAUAGCAAAUUUUACUACCUCAGAUACAGCUGUGUUACAAAGGCGCGUGUGGUUUGGCGGUGUAAUCUUUGAUAAAGUAUUAAAUGGCAAAGAAAGCUUCUUAAGUUAAUCAGGGCUUAAUUUAAAUAAACAAGCCACCCAAAGAUUAACCAAAAAUCCUCGAUGGAAUCUGAACACAAAAAUAAUCUACUCACAAAGUUCUGGGCCAAGUUCACAAAAGCAACUGUGCUAGGAUGAAACUGGCCCACUGACCCCCUUAUUGGCACCCCAAUGAAAAAGAUACUGAUUUUCUAAAACACCAACAAAAUCAUUUCCAGCUCUAUUAAUGCAAACAGCAGUUUUGGCAUCGUCACAACCACAUAUGCUACUACUGCAGGUGAGGAGAAACGGAGGCGGCGGCAGUGGGAUGAAUCCAUUUCUGUGAUGGAGAGGAAUCAGCUGAAUCCUCCAGGAAGAGAUCUGGACCUGCCUGAGCCAAAGCCCAUGGUGUUACCAACCAAUUUCACAGCAACAGCAGAAAUCCCCCCAGCAGAACCCUACAGGAUAGGGAAGCACUCAGGGUGAGAGCAGCAGUCCUGUUGGUACCUUCACUGCAACAAGCCAUAGCUCCAAAGAGCGGGGCUCCUUGUAGCCUGUCACUUACAUGUGUGCAUAAAUAUUCACA